This is a long non-coding RNA of Sphaeramia orbicularis (orbiculate cardinalfish), 168 nucleotides long. RefSeq lists it as uncharacterized. The transcript has 2 exons. Lineage: Eukaryota; Metazoa; Chordata; Actinopteri; Kurtiformes; Apogonidae. The record is from RefSeq and is a predicted model, not a curated record.
AUGAAGAAGAUUUAACUAGGCUAUGUUCAGACAGUGGGUCUUAAUGCACAAUUUGGUUUUUUGGGUGAAAUCUGAUUUUUUUUUGUGUGCUCGUUCAUAUUACACAUUAAUUGUGACUUCUAUCAAUUUUGAGAAUUAACUGAAUGCGAUCCUGAAGUGGCCCACAUG